Molecule: ribosomal RNA, 460 nt
Filed under: uncultured bacterium
Lineage: Bacteria
Description: partial 16S ribosomal RNA
Rfam family: Bacterial small subunit ribosomal RNA
Source: RNAcentral
CCUACGGGAGGCUGCAGUGAGGAAUAUUGGUCAAUGGCCGGAAGGCUGAACCAGCCAAGUCGCGUGAGGGAAUAAGGCCCUAUGGGUCGUAAACCUCUUUUGUCAGGGAGCAAAGGCGUCCACGAGUGGACGAAAGGAGAGUACCUGAAGAAAAAGCAUCGGCUAACUCCGUGCCAGCAGCCGCGGUAAUACGGAGGAUGCGAGCGUUAUCCGGAUUUAUUGGGUUUAAAGGGUGCGUAGGCGGAGUGUCAAGUCAGCGGUAAAAUUUCGGGGCUCAACCCCGUCGUGCCGUUGAAACUGACACCCUUGAGUGAGUGAGAAGUAAGCGGAAUGCGUGGUGUAGCGGUGAAAUGCAUAGAUAUCACGCAGAACCCCGAUUGCGAAGGCAGCUUGCUGCAGCGGAACUGACGCUGAUGCUCGAAAGCGCGGGUAUCGAACAGGAUUAGAUACCCGUGUAGUC